Non-coding RNA from Trichonephila inaurata madagascariensis, 73 nucleotides. Lineage: Eukaryota; Metazoa; Arthropoda; Arachnida; Araneae; Nephilidae. The record is from the annotation of a GenBank genome assembly.
AUCCCUGUAGUGCGAUGGUUGACGCGUUGCACUUCUAAUCCAAAGGUGGUGGGUUCGAAUUCCACUUGGGAUG